UGCAGUCGAACGGUAACAGGAAGAAGCUUGCUUCUUUGCUGACGAGUGGCGGACGGGUGAGUAAUGUCUGGCAAACUGCCUGAUGGAGGGGGAUAACUACUGGAAACGGUAGCUAAUACCGCAUAACGUCGCAAGACCAAAGAGGGGGACCUUCGGGCCUCUUGCCAUCGGAUGUGCCCGGAUGGGAUUAGCUUGUUGGUGGGGUAACGGCUCACCUCAGCCACGAUCCCUAUCUGGUCUGAAACGAUGACCAGCCACACUGGAACUGAGACACGGUCCAGACUCCUACUCCAGGCAGCGUGGGGAAUAUUGCUCAAUGGGCGCGAGCCUGAUGCUGACAUGCCGCCUGCAUGAAGAAGGCCUUCGUUUUGUAAUCUACUUUCUCUGUUGAGGAAGGGAAUAAAGUUAAUACCUUUGCUCAUUGACCUUACCCGCAGAAGAACCACCGGCUAACUCCGUGCCAGCAGCCGCGGUCAUACGGAGGGGGCAAGCGUUAUUCGGAAUUACUGGGCGUAAAGCGCUCGCAGGCGGUUUGUUAAGUCAGAUGUGAAAUCCCCGGGCUCAACCUGGGAAGUUCAUUUGAAACUGGCGAGCUUGAGUGUAGUAGAGGAGAGUGGAAUUCCAGGUGUAGCGGUGAAAUGCGUAGAGAUUUGGAGGAACACCGGUGGGGAAGGCGGCCCCCUGGAUGAAGACUGACGCUGAGAGGAAGCUGGAAGCUC
This 719-nucleotide ribosomal RNA is filed under the name Escherichia coli. Its description in RNAcentral is "bacterial SSU rRNA". It matches the Rfam family "Bacterial small subunit ribosomal RNA", at positions 56 to 769 of the family's 1533-position model. Lineage: Bacteria; Pseudomonadati; Pseudomonadota; Gammaproteobacteria; Enterobacterales; Enterobacteriaceae. The record is from RNAcentral.